UUCAUAUAGAAGGUGUUGGGAAAGACUCGGAAACCUUAAGGAAUUAAUCACAUGUAAUUCAUCUGCUCCCAAUAAAAUCUCCCUUUCAAUCCAAAGAGGAGGAUAUUCUGGUACCUAUCGAGUAGCUGCUGAUGUGUCAAGUAGAAUCCCUAGAGACCUCUUGACCCUAAGGAUAGGAAUAAGCUCAGCUCUGCAGCUGCAUGAAGAUCAUCUGGAAGGUCCAGCUGAAAUGCAAUGACAGGCAUAACAGCUCAGAUCUGCAGGGCUAUGAGGAAAGAUUAUGAACUUCAUGGAAGCCAGUGAUGAAACCUUCAUUCAGUGCUUUCUACAGUAUAUAUACAACUUUGCUGCCACAGGGAGGUGAAUGCUUUGCAACUUACCCCCACUGUAACUACGCUCUGCAUAUAGGCAAUUGGAUCAAUUAAUUAUUGCAUUGUGGCCCUUACCUGAAGCAGAA
RNAcentral lists this long non-coding RNA (457 nucleotides) under Apteryx rowi (Okarito brown kiwi). RNAcentral describes it as "lncRNA (ENSARWG00000003588.1)". Lineage: Eukaryota; Metazoa; Chordata; Aves; Apterygiformes; Apterygidae. The record is from RNAcentral.